GUUACUACUCGAUUCGGUCGAGGUUGGAGAGAGGAUGACUGAGCUCCGUGUAGAGAUGUUGGUGCUAGAGUGACCUACAAAAUAAGUCCAAAUCAGAGGUUUUCGCUCCGACGAGGACUCUUCAAUGCUCAAGUCAGAUUCAGAAAAUAAACAGAGCAGCAACGAGUUCUCUGAAAGGGUUUGCUUACCUUGAUCCUCGAGGCUUGGUUGUUUAUAUAGAAUGUCGUCGAAC
This 232-nucleotide long non-coding RNA is filed under the name Elaeis guineensis (African oil palm). RNAcentral's name for it is "long non-coding RNA (EGUI_LNC075414)". Lineage: Eukaryota; Viridiplantae; Streptophyta; Magnoliopsida; Arecales; Arecaceae. The record is from RNAcentral.